UUCCUGGGAGAAGAAGAGAUGUUCCCUUGCGAACUCGCGCCGCCACCUCUACCCCCGUACUGCAUGCAGCACGAGUUCGGACCGUGCCCAGCGCGUACGGGGGCACCACCCCGGCUACCGUCCCCGAUGCCAUCAGACGAACUGCCGGAGCACCUCUUCCCCCAAGGAUACGGCCCCGUCUUGGAUGUGCCGUCCUUGACGCCGGCAGCAGCGGAAACGGGCGGUUACCCCGCUGUUCCCGAUCUGAACGGUGCCAUCAAGAUGGAAGAAGAAGGAGAGGGCCAGGGCUCGUCGUCGACGUUGCCUNUUAUAUUCUAUCACUAUUGUAUCGUAAGUUUGUAUAUAUUUAGACUAUGUAUCGUUUAAAAUAAUGUCUCAAACUAUGUUUACAUAUUCUAUAUGAUUGCCUCAACAUUUUUUAUUUUUUUAAAAUAUGUAGUUCUCACCUAUAACAUUUACUUGUCGUAACCCCGCAUCAAUCAAUACAGGACACUGCUUUAUUUCGCUUGUAGCGAGACCGACUAGCACGAGCCAAAAUGGCACAAGCGCAAUAGCAAGAGGUGUGCGUCACGAGAUGCACGUUCAUUCUUCAAGUAUUUUUUUAGCGUUGGGCUUACAUAUUUCCUUUUCUUACUUUGAUUAAUUUUUUGAAAUGUGUUUAAAUAUUUAUCUAAAAAUAAUUGAUUUCCCAUUUUAUUUGACUAAUAUAUUAAUCCAAUAUCCAAUGUUGGUUUCUAUUUUUAUUGAUUUUUUAAUAUUUUCAGAAAAGUACCUAGAAAACCCGAGAAAAAACAAUAAUUUGAUUCAUAAAAUUUCAGCACUAAAGAAGGCCAAGGAGGCAUGGUCCCUAUUAGAAAUAAAUUAAUUAGAUUAAUUAAAUGAUUAAUCCCCGCUAUGUCGGUUGCUACUUGUAGCAACUGCCUCUUUGUAACUACCUUGUACGAGGGGUAUAUAUACUCCCAAUCCAUCAAUGAAAGUAACGGUUCCUUCAUUUUAUUCCCUUCUCUCGUUUUUACAUUCCACACGUUAUCACCACUUGCUUUACCGACAGAGACAAGAAAAAAGGCCGACAGAGAUGAGGAAAAGGUAAGAACAUGGCAGGAGAGAGCCUGCCAUCCCUUGCUUUUGCCUUCGCUCGCUACAUCCAGCGGGAAAGCCGUCGCCGUCGCUUUCCUCGCACUCAUCACCAGGCUGCACGACGCCGUCAUGGACUUGGUGUCACGAGUGGCCCUCGUCGUCGCUUCUUCGCCAGAAACCACCGCCAGAACCGUCGCCGUGGCUAUGCCCGGCGAGGCAACCACCCACUACGUGGGCAAGCACCAACGGUGCACCGGGCUGGAUCCUCCGCUCCGACCCCUGCUGCAAAUGGAGACAUACCUGCAAUACACCAGGCCGGGCCUUCGGCUCCAGCCGUCGCCGGCGACUACAUCGCACCGGCCACUCCGCCAUCCGCCUUCAACAUCCCUCCUAUGGAUUGGCUUCUUNAAUGGGGAAUGGGAGAUGUGAUGCGCUGUGUGGUGGAGAACUCCCAACCAUCCUCUCUCUUAUCCAUAUCGCACAUGCUAGCCCAAGCCACAUCCCUCAUGGCCUCACCUACCAGGAUUGCAUUAUUAAUCCUAAACGUACUUAAAUAAAGUGGCUGCUAGUGUUGUCAUUNCGUUCCUGGGAGAAGAAGAGAUGUUCCCUUGCGAACUCGCGCCGCCACCUCUACCCCCAUACUGCAUGCAACACGAGUUCGGACCGUGCCCAGCGCGUACGGGGGCACCACCGCGGCUACCGUCGCCGACGCCAUCAGACGAACUGCCGGAGCACCUCUUCCCCCAAGGAUACGGCCCCGUCUUGGAUGUGUCGUCCUCGACGCCGGCAACAGCGGAAACGGGCGGUUACCCCGCUAUUCCCGAUCUGAACGGUGCCAUCAAGAUGGAAGAAGAAGGAGAGGGCCAGGGCUCGUCGUCGACGUUGCCUCCACCAUCACCGGCGACUCCGCCCCCGCCUCCAGCACCACUCCUCCCUCCCACGCCUCCACCACAGGUGCGCCGCAUCCUGCGG
This 2049-nucleotide long non-coding RNA is filed under the name Hordeum vulgare. RNAcentral's name for it is "long non-coding RNA (HVUL_LNC013112)". Lineage: Eukaryota; Viridiplantae; Streptophyta; Magnoliopsida; Poales; Poaceae. The record is from RNAcentral.